UCCCUUGUGGUCUAGUGGUUAGAAUUUGUGGCUUUCACCCACACGGCCCAGGUUCCAUUCCCGGCACGGGAA
Molecule: non-coding RNA, 72 nt
Organism: Trichuris trichiura (human whipworm)
Lineage: Eukaryota; Metazoa; Nematoda; Enoplea; Trichinellida; Trichuridae
Source: Rfam